UAAGGAAUAUUGGUCAAUGGACGCAAGUCUGAACCAGCCAUGCCGCGUGAAGGAUGAAGGUCCUCUGGAUUGUAAACUUCUUUUAUCUGGGACGAAAACGGGAUUUUUAUCUCAAUUGACGGUACCAGGGGAAUAAGCACCGGCUAACUCCGUGCCAGCAGCCGCGGUAAUACGGAGGGUGCGAGCGUUAUCCGGAUUUACUGGGUUUAAAGGGUGCGUAGGUGGGCUUAUAAGUCAGUGGUGAAAUCUCCGAGCUUAACUUGGAAACUGCCGUUGAUACUAUAGGUCUUGAAUUAUCUGGAGGUAAGCGGAAUAUGUCAUGUAGCGGUGAAAUGCUUAGAUAUGACAUAGAACACCAAUUGCGAAGGCAGCUUACUACAUAUAAAUUGACGCUGAGGCACGAAAGCGUGGGGAUCAAACA
RNAcentral lists this ribosomal RNA (421 nucleotides) under uncultured bacterium. Its description in RNAcentral is "bacterial SSU rRNA". It matches the Rfam family "Bacterial small subunit ribosomal RNA", at positions 355 to 774 of the family's 1533-position model. The record is from RNAcentral.